AGGAGGCAGGACAGACACAUGAUCUGGAGAAGCAGAGUGAAAACAUCACUAGCAGAGGUCUGACACACACUGAAUGUGUACGAUGGCUCCCGCUGUUCUUCUCAUCGGCUGUGUACUCGCCUCAAUCAGCUGCUUAACCACAGCUCAAACUAGUAUUGCUCCAUCUGGACUAACUACAACUACUGCAACUACCACCUCCUUACCUAUUACAACACCACCUACACCAGCACAGAAAACAACAACAACCCCACCAGCACCAGCAAUAAUUACAUCAACAUCUUCACCAGCACCAACUACCACAACAUCUACAGCACAUCCACCAGCAUGUAAUAACCUGAACAUUUAAAUAUCCAACUUUUGAUCCUCCCUUCGACACCACUGCACCUCCUACCUCCAUCUCCACUGUGGCUACUACCUCCAUCUCGACCACGACUCCUACCUCCAGCUCCACCUCAGCUCCACCCAAAGUAAUUACUAUUCUCGAGAUGAAGGUGAAGACGUUGACUGAAGAAGAGCGUCAGGCUGAACUGUUUGAGAUUGGCAAAGUGCUGGAGAAUUUCUUAAGAGCGAAUUAUACUGGCAACUUCUCUGUUAAAGUCACGAAAAUUAAAAAGUUAUCACCAUAGAACUGAGUCAUUGUCUUCAUUUUUCUAUUUUUUUUUUUUAGAUUUUUUUAUGAGUAUUGCACUGAAAUUAUGAGGAAGAACUCUUGUGAACUCGGUUAGAAAAUAAAAACAAGCAAAUUAUUAUAAUUGUUGGGUUUUGUGAUUAUUAGUGCUCGGUGUGUUUCCUGCUGCUGCUCCAUGAGUUUGUGAGUUUUUCCAGGAAAUGUGGAAACCAAUGACUAGAUUUUAUCAGCAGCUGCAGAGUUUGGCCUCCACUGUCCUGAAACCCAUUUAACUAUGAGAAGACUAGACCAGACUGCUUCAUCAGGACCAGACACCAGCGUGAGACGGCCUAAUAAAAUAAUGUCUUCAUUGCUUGAUUUUUAAUCACCUACGGUUUUAAUUAGUUCAGACAUUUAAGGACAUUUUCCUAGACUUAGAGAGCAUGUUUUUAUGGAAGCCCAUUUCUGCCACAAAAAAAAAAAAAGUAAUUCCAAAUUUUUUUAUCUCACAAUAUAUAGAUAUAUAUAUACGGAGCCCCGCAGUACAUUAUGUAAUUCGUUUCCCCAAUGUACUAAAACGUGCAUACGAUUACUAUUGCGUUCCCUCGAUUUAGCAAAGGAGUAAAACAUUUAGUUUUUUUAACCCCUCGGGGAGUCUAUAGUGCACUGUCUGAUGUGAUACUGUAGCUGACGGCUGAAUUGCUAAAAUUUUAUGCUUUAUUUUUCGUUAAUUUAGCCACUGUAUUGAAUAAAUACCUGGGGUUAUGUUUGUUUUCUUCUUAAAGAGACAAAAAGUAAUCAGAUCUAGCAGUUUUUAAUGCUUUUCUGUAGGAUAGGUUACUUUCCUGCCAAGCAAUACGAAAUACCUCUAGUUUUGUUUUCCUCGAGCUGCGCUCCAUUUUUCGGGCUGCUCUCUUUAGGGAGCGAGUGUGCUCAUUAUACCAUGGUGUCAGACUGUUUUACUUAACCUUCCUUAAGCGUAAAGGAGCCACACCAAGCAAUACUGACUUUAUAACUCGCAACUUCAUAUUUAUAUCACAAGUUUUACUUAAUUUCUCAGAAUUGUGACAAACUCGCGAGUUUAUAUCACUAAAUCUAUUUAUCAGAAUUGCGAGUUUAGAUAAAU
Carassius gibelio (silver crucian carp) is the source of this 1733-nucleotide RNA transcript. RefSeq lists it as uncharacterized. The record is from RefSeq and is a predicted model, not a curated record. The transcript is spliced from 5 exons. Lineage: Eukaryota; Metazoa; Chordata; Actinopteri; Cypriniformes; Cyprinidae.